GACAGAGGGGGCAAGCGUUGCUCGGAAUCACUGGGCGUAAAGGGCGCGUAGGCGGGAUGGCAAGUCGGUCGUGAAAUCCCUGGGCUCAACUCAGGGGGGUCGGCCGAUACUGCCGUUCUUGAGGGAUGCAGAGGAGACUGGAAGUCCCGGUGUAGCGGUGAAAUGUGUAGAGAUCGGGAGGAACACCGGUGGCGAAGGCGGGUCUCUGGGCAUUCCCUGACGCUGAGGCGCGAAAGCGUGGGGAGCAAACGGG
Molecule: ribosomal RNA, 253 nt
Filed under: uncultured bacterium
Lineage: Bacteria
Description: partial 16S ribosomal RNA
Rfam family: Bacterial small subunit ribosomal RNA
Source: RNAcentral